CUCCCCGUAGCUCAGCAGGAUAGAGCAGCAGAUUCCUAAUCUGCAGGUCACAGGUUCAAAUCCUGUCGGGGAGG
Molecule: transfer RNA, 74 nt
Filed under: invertebrate metagenome
Description: tRNA-Arg-CCT
Rfam family: tRNA
About the family: Transfer RNA (tRNA) molecules are approximately 80 nucleotides in length. Their secondary structure includes four short double-helical elements and three loops (D, anti-codon, and T loops). Further hydrogen bonds mediate the characteristic L-shaped molecular structure. tRNAs have two regions of fundamental functional importance: the anti-codon, which is responsible for specific mRNA codon recognition, and the 3' end, to which the tRNAs corresponding amino acid is attached (by aminoacyl-tRNA synthetases). tRNAs cope with the degeneracy of the genetic code in two manners: having more than one tRNA (with a specific anti-codon) for a particular amino acid; and 'wobble' base-pairing, i.e. permitting non-standard base-pairing at the 3rd anti-codon position.
Source: RNAcentral